CAUCACUAUUAAUGAUGACUUUUUCUUCUGUUGCUUCUGUUGUCUUAAUAUCAUUUGUUUGUGUGAAUAUUCAGCAAUUAAUUAAAGUACAUAUUUGAAGAGAUUGUAAAAGCAGGAGAUGACUUUAGGAGGGUCUUCAGGAAAUGCUCCAUCCAAAUUAUUGUUGUUAUUAUUAUUAUUAUUAUUAUUAUUAUUAUUAUUAAUAUUAUUAUUAUUAUUAUUAUUAUUAUUAUUAUUAUUAUUAUUAUUAUUAUUAUUGUUAUUGUAAUUCUUCCAGUGACAUUCACAACAUCAGAUUGACUUGUUACAUCUCACUGUAUUAACUGGUGAGAUCUUGAAACAAUAUUCUGAAACUACAGUUCAGUGUUUGAACACCAUUUACUGCCUAAUCAGAAAGAUCAAACAGUCACAUUUGAAUGGAGCAUUUCCAAAGGGUUGAGGUUAGGGAGGGCCAGACCCUCCUAGAGUCUUUUUCCUCUUUUACAAAUGUUACUGUUUGAUGUCAUUAUUGUUCAUAAUCAGUUUUUUCUUUCAGUUGUACAUUUUGAAAAGCCAUACAAAUUCUGUGAUAGAGAGAAAUAUUUAAGAUUUCGUUCAUCAAUGGUAAGUUUUAGACAAGUUUUUUCUACAAAUCUUCAACAACCAAGUUAAAGAACAUAUUUAGAUAACAGGAGUGUAAAAGCAGGAGAUGACUUUAGGAGGGUCUUCAGGAAAUUCUCCAUCCGCAUUAUAUUUUUAUUGUUAUUAUUGUAAUUCUUCAAAUUACAUUUUCAAUAACUAAUUACUAUUAGUUAAACUAUUUUUAACAUGUAAACAAUAAGAGUCAUAUUUAUUUGACUUGUUAUGACUCACUGUAUUACCUGGUGAGAUCUUGAAACUAUGUUCCAAAAGUACAAUCCAGUGUUUGAACACAAAUUAUUGUGUAAAUAAUGAGAGUCACAUUAGUAUGGAGCAUUUCCAAAGGGUUGAGGUUAGGGAGGGCCAGACCCUCCUAAAGUCUUCAUUGUCUUUUAUAAAUGUUACUUUCAGAUUCAGUCACUAUUAAUGAUCUCUUUUCUUCCUAAUGUUUUAAUAUCUUCAAAGACAAGACAUCCAAAUUGUACAACACAGAAACAUGGUGCGGAUUUCCUGUUAUGUUUCAUGUUUUGGGUUUGGUUUGGUUUGUCUCUCGUCGUCUCUUUUUCUCUUCUCCCUGGUUUCCUUCCAGUGUGUUGCUGACGACGUGGCUCAUCUCCCUGCAGCUUGUUCCACAUCAUCAGCUCCUCCAUAAACCCUGGACUCUUUUCUACUCUGAUCCUCACUGCCUCGCUGCUAACUCAGUUCUCCUGAGCUCCAGUGUUUCUUGUGCUCAGCCUUCAGCUCUACCUUGGUCACUCCAGCCGUCCACCACCAAACCAGCCAGUCCUCA
Long non-coding RNA from Amphiprion ocellaris (clown anemonefish), 1408 nucleotides. NCBI's taxonomy places the organism in Eukaryota, Metazoa, Chordata, Actinopteri, Pomacentridae. The record is from Ensembl.